RNAcentral lists this long non-coding RNA (848 nucleotides) under Mus pahari (shrew mouse). Its description in RNAcentral is "lncRNA (MGP_PahariEiJ_G0005201.1)". The record is from RNAcentral. Lineage: Eukaryota; Metazoa; Chordata; Mammalia; Rodentia; Muridae.
CCUGAGAGGCACAGCCAAGCAGGCCUAGGCACAUUUGCAUCCCUUCCCCAGGCCUGCUGGGACUUCAUAUGGCUCUGGUGUGGCUGUUAAUUAUAGCAAACACAGUCAUAGCUGGAGAGUCCUCGUGUGGCCUCGUUGAGCCGAAGGCUAAAAAGAUGCCUCGGGUGGUGGCCAAAUAAUGGAAGCCCAGUGAUGCGAGAGCGCUCUGUUUACUGAAGUGAAGCCCCUCUGGGGAAAAAUCUCACCAGAGACCAUGGAGACUCCAAAGAGUGGAUGGAAGAGGCUGUGUCGGCCUGGGAAGCUAGCUCUGUCAGUAAAGGGCUUGCCCCAAGGGGACCAGAGUUUGAUCCCCAGUACUCAGGUGAACGCAGGCUGUCAGUGCUGGGGAGGUAGGACAGAUUGGAGCCCUGGGGCCUGCCUAGCUUAUUUGGUGACUUCUCAGGGGUGGCGAGACUGUCUCCAAAAACAAUGUGGAUGGCACCUGAGGAUAUACAACUGAGGUUGUCCUCUGACCACCACAUCCACAACUAUUGUUGCACAUAGACGCACCUACACACAAACACAUGUGAACAAACACAAGUGUACACACAUCACCAAGGGGUUACUCAGCCUGGUCAAGGAGGAAAAAUGGCUUGCGUUUUUGUUUGUUUGUUUGUUUGUUUGUUUUUUGUUUGUUUGUUUUUAUGGCAGUAAUGUCUGAGGUAUCAGGCAGGGGCAUUUGAAGUUUGUAUGCAGAGACCCACCGUGGGGCAGACGGAUGAAUGUGUUUGGAGGAUCCUGGCAAGCUUGCUUCUGUACCUCUAGGUUCCGUGCCUCCUCCUGCAUGCCACCCAGCCUAUGAACCCUGC